Molecule: non-coding RNA, 208 nt
Filed under: Ruminococcus sp.
Lineage: Bacteria; Bacillati; Bacillota; Clostridia; Eubacteriales; Oscillospiraceae
Description: T-box sequence
Rfam family: T-box leader
About the family: Uncharged tRNA acts as the effector for transcription antitermination of genes in the T-box leader family. T-boxes are found upstream of many aminoacyl-tRNA synthetase genes and some amino acid biosynthetic genes usually in Gram-positive bacteria.
Source: RNAcentral
ACAAAAGCGAUGAAAGGGAGAGUAUUCCGUUCUUAUGUUUCAGCGAGAGCCGUUGGUGAGAGGGUUCACACAAAGGGCAGGAAGAAGGACACCUUGGAGCUUCCGUUUGUUCAAGAACGGACGUAUAGCUGCGUUAAAGCGUUAGAGUGAUCCGGCACGAAAGUGUUCGGAUAAUUAGGGUGGUAUCACGGUAAAAGUCGUCCCUUAC